CUUGAGUGAAGUGUCACAUAUGAUUAUAAACAACGUUAGUCAUAUAUAAUCGACAUGUUACAUCAUGAUGGUCAUUAGAAUAGCAAGCUUGCCACUACAGCAUUCAUGUGUGCUUCGUAAUGCUCAUAAGAGACUAAGUACACACUAACAUGAUAAAUGAGUCAUUUUUCAUUCAUUCUUCUAAAUAAGACUUGUUGCGUCUUAAUUAGAGAACCAACAUUUGAAUGUGCUUUUCAUACAUUCUCCAACCAAGACUUCUCGUUGGUUCCAUCUUAAUUAGAGAAUUGAGAUACAUAGUUUUCUUAAUUGUACAUGCUAUGAUCUAAGUAGGAGAAGUGAACGCGAUAUCUCAUAUUAAAUGAGACUUCCAUUCUCCCCCUCAAAAUGUGGUCUAAACCCACAAUUUUGAUGAGCUCUCAUUAAUCACAUUUCUCUGACAUCUUCAAUGGUAACAUAGUAUAUAAUCUUUACAAAAGAUUCAUUUAGUGAAAACAUAACUCGUCUCACCAUAAGGUGGGACUAACAAUACAUAAUUUGAGUUGAGUUACUAACAUAUAAAAUCACGUCAUCUAUUCGAGAGAUGAAAUUAAGGUUGUCCAAUAACUAGGAGCAUGAACGAAACAUCAUCAAUAAGAUGAAGAAUUAAGUCAUCUCCAAAAGCUAGUGGAAUAAAUCCAAUAGUUUUGACUUUAAUCUCCUUUGCAUUAAUGAUGUGCAUGACGGCACAUGCGUCCUCUCCCAAUGUCUGCCUUAUCGUCAUGAUUAACAUCCUUCAACCUUAUUGGCAGAAAAACGGUUGGGAGAUUCCUUACAUGAGACAAUGAUCUCCAAUCUCCAUGUGGGAAAGAUAUUUACAUAAGGUUCUUGUAUGCCAAACAAAAGUUUGACAUCAUUAUUAUUGCUAGAAAGAGGAGACAACUUUAUGAUCAUCAUAAUAAAAAAACAAGCAUGAACUAACCAUGCAAUGCCACGAAUAAAAACAUGCUUAAUGUUUAUUCUAAUCCAUAUCACCGUUGGGCAGAUAUUGAAAAAGAACCUUACUCAUUCGUAAAUGACACAUGAAAAACAUAAUCAAUGUUGGUCAGAAUAUCAUCAUAUGUCAUUAGAACAUUUGCUCAUUAAAUCUCUAAUCAAAACUUCAUGUUGGUUCCAUUUUGAUCAGAGAGAUGUAAAAUCUCGUAAUGACCAGCAAGAACUAUGACUAAAUUAAUUGCCAUCAUUAACAUAAAGCAACAUCAUAAUAUAAUCAUGUGUGCCAUGAGGCGCAGUGAUGCCUUUUGACACUAAAUCUCACAACGAUAAUAUAAAUAUUGAACUUAAGUGUCAAAAUUAUCAUUAGAAUGCUCAACGACAUACAAUGAAAAUGAUAUUGGAAUUAACAUAUAAAUAUAAAUGUCACUCCCACCGAGUAAUCAUUAAAGAGGACAUUCAAAGUGAAAAUGUCAUAAAUAUAAAUCAUCAUAAGAAUUUCCAAAGCUAAAUUUGGAUAUCAACAUUCUCCAAAUUAUAAUAUUGGGCAAAUUAAUAAUUUUCAAAUAAAUGACCAUGUAAAAAAAAUUAAACAAAGUUUCUUCAUUAAGAGAAUUGAUCAUAACCCAUUAACAUCAUUUUGGACCGUUAUGAAUAUUUGAGAGGUGCAGAUCAUAAUAAAAAUGGCAUAAAAUGCACCAACCAACAACUUUAGUUUUGCCCGAUAUGCAUAUUGCCCCAACAUUAUUAUGACACAUAGUGCGGCGCGGAAAAAUGAACCACACAUCCAUAUCAUUUUUCUUGAGGUGGCCUGAGCCCAUUAGAAAUGACCACAUCUUUCAGAAAUGCCAUAAGUGUGGCAUCAACAUUAAAUUCACAAUCAAUCAAAAUUACAAAUAAAAUAUUUAGAAAAUUCAAUGAGCGAUUCAUAAUUGUGCUCAAACAUAAUAUCAACUCAUAAUUCAAUUUAAACAGUACAUAAGACGUUACCUAAAGGAUUCAAACUGCAUAAAAGUGCGCUUAAAAAAAGGCCUGAAUAAUUCAUCAUAGAUAUUGGCCACAUCAUUAUUGGAUAAAAUAUCAAUAUUUUGACAACAUUUAAUUUCCAAUAUCAAUUGAUAUUUAAAAAAUACUCAACAUUAAAUUUCGUGGGUUAAAAAUACCAAAUAAAAUUUCAUGUUUAUUCCGAAAACCUAAAACAUAAUUUAGAACAUAAUUUUCUAGAUAUUUUCAUUAUGAAGCAGUGCAACACAUUUUGUGAAACAUCAUAAGACAGAAAGGCACUGAAUAAAAGGAAAAAACACAGAACAUUAAAUGUUGCCCAUAAAACCCACGGUAGCCUUUAUUGACUUGCCGAGGAGAGAAAAGUUCUCAGCGAAAAAGAAAAAAAUCUUCCCAGGGCCUCGAUAACCUGGGCCUGAACCCAUGGCCAGAUUUGGCCCUUUAUUUACUCGAACGCCCAGCAGCUGGCCUGGGCGCCAAUCUCAGCCGUCCUUUCAAGUCGACGGUCUGGAUCAUCCCCAGCCGGAACAAAACGGCUACCCGGUCGAACCCUAGGUCCAUUUGCCCCGUUCCUUCCCCGAUUCUCCCGGAGCGGCAACACAGAGGCGACCGAAGUGGCGGCUUAAGGCACACCGGCUAUGGCGGUGCGGCAGCCCCGUUCGUGGGAGCAGCGUGCCUGGCCUCAAGGCCGCGCGCUCCUCCGCCGAACGGUGCCAGCCGUGUCGACCUCAUGGUGCUCACGGGAGCAAGUCUGCGCCGGCAACGCGCACGAGGCGCUCGACGGCGAGGAGGGAAGCAGACCACCGGCGCAUAAUCUUUGGGGUUCAACGACGACGUGUGCGGCACAGGGGCCACAUAGCAUUCGCGUCCAUAAGGGUGGCGCCGCCGGCCAUUUCUUUCGCGCGCGUCGUCCCGAGAGACGGCGGCGUCGCCGCUGUCGGGAUCCCGAAGGAGAGCACCGGCACGGCGUCAUUAGGUGAAGCCCGACUCCCUUUUCUUUUCUUUAGUGAUUUGCGUUUUGGGCAACGAAAAAUUUAGGGAAUUUCAUUAUUUGGGGUUUCAAAGUCGGGGAAUUUCUUUAAACAUUCAAAUCCCCUCCUUCUAAUUGCUUAAACAGGGCCAACUGUGCUAAUUAAAUCAUCAACAUAAUGCGGAAACAUGGCAUAAUUACAUUUACCAAAUACAACUAGCACCAAGCCGUAGCUAAAUUCGCCUUAACCGAAAACAUUAACCCCUAAUCCUGAUAAUUAACUUUAACAACGUCAAUAAUCUUAAACACAAGACAUUAGGAUGUAUUCAUACUUAAACAGAUUGCCAUUAAACUUGAUUAGGGAUCUAAUCUAGGCAUUGACUUGCUCAUGAUACCAUUGUUGUGAACAAUCUUUAGGGAUAAACGUGAGAGGAUCUUAACCCUAGCAUUAGACCACCUAAAACAGAUUAAUAGAAAAGGGUUCGUGAUUUCUUACAGGUUCUGAUGGAAGCCUUGUUCCUGCUUGGUGCACUCCUCAUGUAGCCUAUGGCUACACCUUGCGUUGAAACAUGAAGAUGGUCGGGGAAGAAGUGCAGGGAACAGGACCUCGAAGCAAGCAGCAGAAGCGCCGCAGUAGGACUGGCCGCCGGCACUGACCUUGCGGUGGCCGGCGAUGGUAGUCGGUCUUCUGAUCACCUUGAGCGCCUUCUUUUUAGGAUCGGUUGUUAGCAAGUUGUAUGACCCGGACAUGUGUGUGUUUUUGAAGGGGUACAUCUUGCUCAUUAUAUAGGUGGCGCUAAAGGGAUCAGGGACCGAAACCAACAGCUGGAUUUGGUGCCUCCGAUCAUGGCACGUACGUGGGGUAAAAAGGGCCCCCCUUUUCUCUCGGUCAGUUAUGACCUGAGAUCAAAAUUCCAA
Molecule: ribosomal RNA, 3859 nt
Filed under: Triticum aestivum (bread wheat)
Lineage: Eukaryota; Viridiplantae; Streptophyta; Magnoliopsida; Poales; Poaceae
Description: partial small subunit ribosomal RNA
Source: RNAcentral